Molecule: long non-coding RNA, 460 nt
Organism: Stegastes partitus (bicolor damselfish)
Lineage: Eukaryota; Metazoa; Chordata; Actinopteri; Pomacentridae
Exons: 3
Source: RefSeq, a predicted model, not a curated record
GUAUCUACUAUUGCAGUGAUUCGUAGUUGUGUUAUCACCCGAGUGGUGUUUGUUUUGUUACACUUUAUUGCCGACGCGUUGCUGAAAAGCUCAUCCGGGUGUUUUCUGUCUGAAGUCAGUCUUUGACCAUAUUUGCUGAUUUCUCGCUGAUUGGUUCAGGUUCUCUGGUUGAACUGGUUUCUGUCUUGCAGCUCCGGUCACCAGUCCUCCUCGCACAACGACGAGCGCCGCGGCGCUGACGGACCGAGCAACGGAGCCGCCGGCCUCCACAGUGAACUGGAAAACCCUGCUGUCGUCUCAGCUGGAGCUUCUGAGGAGGAACUCCACCCUGCUGCGCUCCGACACCGUGGCUGUGGAGGACUCUGUGCCGUCGCUCUCCCUGCAGAUCAACGUUCCCGUCCUCUCGCUCUCCGUCAGCGUCUUGUUGAUCUUGGCUGCAGUUUUCCUCUUCCUGGCCUUC